GGCUGGUGGGAACGGUGAAAGUCCCACCGAAAUCUUGGUCAGGAGCCCAGCAUUGUAUACUUCUACAGGUAAAUAUCAUCGAUGUGAUGUUCCAUCUGUGCUCCUGGAAAAAGUUGGAUGUGGUUAAGAUCUAGCCAACAAAAACUAUAUGCAGUGGUAGGGCUGCGGAAGAAUUCCACCAGCAGCCACAGGUAGAGAGACAGCGUGUCCCAGGUAGAGAGACAGCGUGUCCCUCUGAAGGGGAAGGCGAACUGUAGCUGUUGAAAAAGGCACUGAACGGAAGAACCUAUUAGUAAUAUUCUGACUG
This is a long non-coding RNA of Mustela erminea (ermine), 307 nucleotides long. RefSeq lists it as uncharacterized. Lineage: Eukaryota; Metazoa; Chordata; Mammalia; Carnivora; Mustelidae. The transcript is spliced from 2 exons. The record is from RefSeq and is a predicted model, not a curated record.